RNAcentral lists this ribosomal RNA (487 nucleotides) under uncultured bacterium. Its description in RNAcentral is "bacterial SSU rRNA". It matches the Rfam family "Bacterial small subunit ribosomal RNA", at positions 501 to 988 of the family's 1533-position model. The record is from RNAcentral.
CUACGUGCCAGCAGCCGCGGUAAUACGUAGGUCCCGAGCGUUGUCCGGAUUUAUUGGGCGUAAAGCGAGCGCAGGCGGUUAGAUAAGUCUGAAGUUAAAGGCUGUGGCUUAACCAUAGUACGCUUUGGAAACUGUUUAACUUGAGUGCAAGAGGGGAGAGUGGAAUUCCAUGUGUAGCGGUGAAAUGCGUAGAUAUAUGGAGGAACACCGGUGGCGAAAGCGGCUCUCUGGCUUGUAACUGACGCUGAGGCUCGAAAGCGUGGGGAGCAAACAGGAUUAGAUACCCUGGUAGUCCACGCCCUAAACGAUGUAUACUAGUUGUUGCUAAGCUAGUCUUGGCAGUAAUGCACCUAACGGAUUAAGUAUACCGCCUGGGGAGUACGGUCGCAAGAUUAAAACUCAAAGGAAUAGACGGGGACCCGCACAAGCGGUGGAGCAUGUGGUUUAAUUCGAAGAUACGCGAAGAACCUUACCCGGACUUGAUAUC